This 326-nucleotide long non-coding RNA is filed under the name Mytilus galloprovincialis (Mediterranean mussel). The record is from RNAcentral. Lineage: Eukaryota; Metazoa; Mollusca; Bivalvia; Mytilida; Mytilidae.
GGUGGCUGGGAUUUUUAUUGUGUUCAUAAUUUUUUUUUCAGAACCUUCCUCCGACAAAAUAUUUUUUUUCUUAUGAGAAGGAAAGCAAAAUUUUUUUUCCUAUAAUGUGGAACAGAAAUACAAUUUUUUUUUCACAAAACCAUAAAAUUAACAUAAAAUUCAUUUUAAUUUUUUAAUUGAUGUAAAAUGUAAAGUGCAUGGCUCUGUCUAUAUCCUGGCAUUGGCUGUUGUCUCAGUUGUUUUUUUUUAGCCCACUUUCUACAUUAUGAUAUUCUCGGAGUCCGUCAUACAGGUAUCCUUAAAUUUUAAUACUGCAAUUGAAGUGG